Molecule: non-coding RNA, 31 nt
Filed under: Rattus norvegicus (Norway rat)
Lineage: Eukaryota; Metazoa; Chordata; Mammalia; Rodentia; Muridae
Source: RNAcentral
UGCAUGCAUACAGUAAUUGCUCAAUAAAGAU